GUUUGUAAAUGAUGAGAAUAAAAUAUCACAGUUAUCCCUGUCUGAUUCACUUGUGCUGACGUCUUUGUGAUCUGAUACAAAC
This is a small nucleolar RNA of Camellia sinensis, 82 nucleotides long. RefSeq annotates it as small nucleolar RNA R38. NCBI's taxonomy places the organism in Eukaryota, Viridiplantae, Streptophyta, Magnoliopsida, Ericales, Theaceae. The record is from RefSeq and is a predicted model, not a curated record.